GUGGGGAAUAUUGGACAAUGGGCGAAAGCCUGAUCCAGCCAUGCCGCGUGAGUGAUGAAGGCCUUAGGGUUGUAAAGCUCUUUCAGUAGGGAAGAUAAUGACAGUACCUACAGAAGAAGCCCCGGCUAACUUCGUGCCAGCAGCCGCGGUAAUACGAAGGGGGCUAGCGUUGUUCGGAUUUACUGGGCGUAAAGCGCACGUAGGCGGAUUGGUCAGUUAGAGGUGAAAUCCUGGAGCUCAACUCCAGAACUGCCUUUAAUACUGCCAGUCUAGAGUCCAGAAGAGGUGAGUGGAACUCCUAGUGUAGAGGUGGAAUUCGUAGAUAUUAGGAAGAACACCAGUGGCGAAGGCGGCUCACUGGUCUGGUACUGACGCUGAGGUGCGAAAGCGUGGGGAGCAAACAGGAUUAGAAACCCUGGUAGUCC
This 425-nucleotide ribosomal RNA is filed under the name uncultured bacterium. Its description in RNAcentral is "partial 16S ribosomal RNA". It matches the Rfam family "Bacterial small subunit ribosomal RNA", at positions 354 to 796 of the family's 1533-position model. The record is from RNAcentral.